UCCAGGCCCUACGGGGCGCACCAGGCGCGAAAACUCCGCAAUGCGGGAAACCGUGACGGGGUUACCCCGAGUGCUCCCCUUGUGGGAGCUUUUCCCCGCUGUAAAAAGGCGGGGGAAUAAGCGGGGGGCAAGUCUGGUGUCAGCCGCCGCGGUAAUACCAGCCCCGCGAGUGGUCGGGGUGUUUAUUGGGCCUAAAGCGGCCGUAGCCGGCCCGGUAAGUCCUCCCUGAAAGCCCCAGGCUCAACCUGGGGAGCGGGAGGAUACUGCCGGGCUAGAGGGCGGGAGAGGCCGAGGGUACUCCCGGGGUAGGGGCGAAAUCCUGUAAUCCCGGGAGGACCACCAGUGGCGAAGGCGCUUGGCUGGAACGCGCCUGACGGUGAGGGCCGAAAGCCGGGGGAGCGAACCGGAUUAGAUACCCGGGUAGUCCCGGCNGUAAACGAUGCGGGCCAGG
This 451-nucleotide ribosomal RNA is filed under the name uncultured crenarchaeote. RNAcentral's name for it is "bacterial SSU rRNA". It matches the Rfam family "Archaeal small subunit ribosomal RNA", at positions 315 to 771 of the family's 1478-position model. The record is from RNAcentral. Lineage: Archaea; Thermoproteati; Thermoproteota.